UCUUUUUCCGCUUACUGACG
This 20-nucleotide microRNA is filed under the name Drosophila mojavensis. RNAcentral's name for it is "miR-316-RA". Lineage: Eukaryota; Metazoa; Arthropoda; Insecta; Diptera; Drosophilidae. The record is from RNAcentral.